AUCGAACGCUAGCGGCAUGCCUUACACAUGCAAGUCGAACGGCAGCGGGGGAGCUUGCUCCCGCCGGCGAGUGGCGAACGGGUGAGUAAUACAUCGGAACGUACCCAGUAGCGGGGGAUAGCCCGGCGAAAGCCGGAUUAAUACCGCAUACGCCCUACGGGGGAAAGGGGGGGAUCGCAAGACCUCUCACUAUUGGAGCGGCCGAUGGCAGAUUAGCUAGUUGGUGGGGUAAAGGCCUACCAAGGCGACGAUCAGUAGCUGGUCUGAGAGGACGACCAGCCACACUGGGACGGAGACACGGCCCAGACUCCUACGGGAGGCAGCAGUGGGGAAUUUUGGACAAUGGGCGAAAGCCUGAUCCAGCAAUGCCGCGUGUGCGAAGAAGGCCUUCGGGUUGUAAAGCACUUUUGUCAGGGAAGAAAUCGUUUGGGUUAAUACCCCGAGCAGUUGACGGUACCUGAAGAAUAAGCACCGGCUAACUACGUGCCAGCCGCCGCCGUAA
RNAcentral lists this ribosomal RNA (502 nucleotides) under uncultured bacterium. RNAcentral describes it as "partial 16S ribosomal RNA". It matches the Rfam family "Bacterial small subunit ribosomal RNA", at positions 29 to 523 of the family's 1533-position model. The record is from RNAcentral.